This 459-nucleotide ribosomal RNA is filed under the name uncultured bacterium. Its description in RNAcentral is "partial 16S ribosomal RNA". It matches the Rfam family "Bacterial small subunit ribosomal RNA", at positions 338 to 795 of the family's 1533-position model. The record is from RNAcentral.
CCUACGGGAGGCAGCAGUGAGGAAUAUUGGUCAAUGGCCGGAAGGCUGAACCAGCCAAGCCGCGUGAAGGACGAAGGUUCCAAGCAUUGUAAACUUCUUUUGUCAAGGGACAAAAUCAGGCUCGAGAGCCUGACCGAGGGUACUUGAAGAAAAAGACUCGGCUAACUCCGUGCCAGCAGCCGCGGUAAUACGGAGGAUGCGAGCGUUAUCCGGAUUUAUUGGGUUUAAAGGGUUGGUAGUGGGGCUGUUAAGUCAGCGGUAAAAGCCCGGGGCUCAACCCCGGCGAGCCGUUGAGAAUGGCUGUCUUGAGAUGUGGAGAGGUAUGCGGAAUGCGCAGUGUAGCGGUGAAAUGCUGAGAUAUGGCGCAGAACUCCGAUUGCGAAGGCAGCAUACCGGCGGCGAUCUGACGCUGAGGCACGAAAGCGUGGAUAUCGAACAGGAUUAGAUACCCUGGUAGUC